Molecule: long non-coding RNA, 2239 nt
Organism: Dromiciops gliroides (monito del monte)
Lineage: Eukaryota; Metazoa; Chordata; Mammalia; Microbiotheria; Microbiotheriidae
Exons: 4
Source: RefSeq, a predicted model, not a curated record
GAAUCCAGGGCCGGUGCCUUAUCUACUGUGCCACCUAGCUGCCCCCAACAGUGUUUUUGGGUGCAUGAAGCAGCAAGGGCAACUGCUAUUCUGAACCUAAUGCUGACCAGGAUGGAAGACAUGGUGACUGAAGCAGAAAAAAAUGAGGAACUUGUGAGCAAGUGAAUACUCCAUCAUAGAGUUCAGGAAAGAAAUGGGGGAAAAAAGUGUGCAAUGUUCUCCUGGUUCUGUUCACUUCAUUAUGCAUCAGUUCAUUUCACCAAUGAAUAUGUGGAUGACAACUAAAAAAAGACCCGGUUCAACAACAACACUGUGGGAUGAUCAGCUGUGAUCGACUUAGCUCUUCUCAGCGAUACAAUGAUCCAAGACAAUUCCAAAAGACUCAUGAUAGAAAAUGCUCUCUACAUCCACAGAAAGAACUAUGGAGUCUGAAUGCAGAUCAAAGCAUACUAUUUUUGCUUUUUUGUUGUUUUUUGUGACUUUUCCCUUUUGUUCUGUUUCUUCUUUCACAACAUGCCUAAUGUGGAAAUGUGUUUACGUGAUUGCACAGGUACAGAUUGUAUCAAAUUGCUUGCUAUCUUGUGGAAAGGAGAUGGGAGGGAGGAAAGGAGGGAAAAUUUUGAAACUCAAAAUCUUAUUAAAAAAUCUAUGUUGAAAAAUAUCUUUAGAUGUGUUUGGAAAAAUAAAAUACUAUUUACAAAAAAAAAUAAUUGUUCAAGUCAGACUGAACCCAUUUGAAAGAGGAACUAGACUGGUAUAUCAAAGGAGUCAACCUUUUUGUGUGUCGUGGAUUCUUCUGUAGUUUAGUGAAGCUUAUGGACCCCUUCUCAAAAGAAUGUUUUGUAAAUGCAUUAAACGAAAUAUAUAAGAUUGCAAAGGAAACCAAUCAUAUUGAAAUGUAAUUAUGAAAAUAUUUUUUAAUAAAAACCAAGUUCAUGGCUUCCAGGCUAAGGACUCUUACUGGACAUAUAGUGUUCCUGGGUUUCUGCAGUGUUAGAAAGGUCUGUCAUCUACUUCUGUGGACCAGGUAAAAUCAUAUUGUUAGAUGAUAGUAAAAUUAGAUGGACACAAAAUUGGUUGAAUUAUCUGAUUUCAAAUAAUAGGUCAAGAUCAACUUGGAGGGAGAUCUCCAGGAUGAAUGGUCCUGUGCCAGCACUUGUGUCAGUAGCCUGAAUGAAGCCAUAGAAAACAUUCAUGUCAAAUUUUUCUGGGGACAUAAUUAGCUAGCUGACACACUACACAACCCAGUCAAGAUGCAAAAAGAUAUUGCUAGGCUACUACAAUGAAUUUUUAAAAAACUGAUCCAAGAUUUCAUUACUGUAGGGAAUUCCCAUUAAGUUUUCAAUUUAACCAAUUCAAAUUCAAAUUAACAAUACUCUGAAACUUAGAGAAUUGUAAGUGGUAUGUGUCAAAGAUAGGACUUAAACUCAAGUCCUCCUGACGGCAGGGCCACCUCUAUCAACUAUGUUACAUGAUAAAUUUAUCAAUGUAGAAUGAAACGAAUAGGAAGUUCUGUACCUGAGUUCUAGGAAUGAAAUAAAUUUCAAUGUGUCAGAUGAAAAGCAUGUGAAAAGCCUAUGAAAAAGAUCUGGGAGUUAAUAGUCUGUAAUGUUAAUAUCAGUCAACAGGGUAACAUGACAGCCCAAAAUGCUAUUAUUUAAAGCUCAGAGUGGAAUAGUAUUGAGAAUGAAGGAAAUAAUAGUUCUGUGAUAUUUAGUCCUGAUCAGAUAACAACUGGAGUUUUAGAUGCCACAUUUUCAGAAGGUCAUUUAUGAAUUGUAGUGUUGUCAUAGGACAAUAACAAAGAGAGUAAGAGGAAGAGAUCACUUGUCAGCAUAUAUUAUGUAGAAGGGAUUCUUGGUUAGGUAUAAGUUGGACAAGAACUCUGAGGUCACUCAAUUCUUAGAAUCUAUGAAUUGUAAAAUAAAGAGACUGUACUAGAUUAUUUUUAAGGUUCUUCUUUGUUUAGAUUUUAUGAUUCAUCUCCCUUGAACAAGAGCAGAAGACACUAUCCCAGGAAGAAAUACAAAGCCCCGAAGCCCCAAAACAGGAAAAAAAGGAGAAUGGCUACCAGAUGUUAUAAGGUCUAAAUGCCAACUUUUUACUACUGCUUUGUCUCUCUCGGAAGGCAUGGGUAGCUCUUUAAGAAUUCCCCACUGGGUGCCCAUCAAUUGGGGAAUGGCUGGACAAGUUGUGGUAUAUGAAUACAAUGGAAUACUAUUGUGCUGUAAGAAACUAU